GGGUCUUACCAUUUGGUAUCAUAGCGUUAUCAUUUCUUAAGACUUUAGGAUCUUAUCAUUUGGUAUCAGAGCAGUGAUACUCGGCAUUUUCACUGUUCUCGCUAUAGUUAUCAUCAUCUCAAAAAAAAAAAAAAAAAGAGGAACGCAGGAGAAAAAAAAAAAAAGUAGGAAAGAGAUCGUGUGAGAAAGGGUGAAGCCGGCGGCCACC
RNAcentral lists this long non-coding RNA (208 nucleotides) under Musa acuminata (dwarf banana). RNAcentral's name for it is "long non-coding RNA (MACU_LNC009626)". The record is from RNAcentral. Lineage: Eukaryota; Viridiplantae; Streptophyta; Magnoliopsida; Zingiberales; Musaceae.